This is a long non-coding RNA of Thalassophryne amazonica, 372 nucleotides long. RefSeq lists it as uncharacterized. The transcript has 3 exons. Lineage: Eukaryota; Metazoa; Chordata; Actinopteri; Batrachoidiformes; Batrachoididae. The record is from RefSeq and is a predicted model, not a curated record.
UUGGAUGCUUUGCCCACACACUCAACCUGGCAGCACAGAAGGUGUAUGGCAUCCAAGCUGUGACCAGGUGGUGUGCAAAGAUCCGUGCAGUGGUGGUGUGGUUGAAGCGCUCCACCAUGAGCAAAACUGUUUUGAGAGAGAAGCAACGACUCCUCAAUUUGCCAGAGCAUAAUGUUAUCCUUGAUGUGAGGACUCGCUGGAAUUCUCUGUACAUCAUGGUUGAGCGGUUUGUGGAGCAGUUCCCUGCAAUCCAGGCAGCUUGCCUCGAUCACAGGCUGAGGAAGCCAAUGGAGAGGGACAGCUUCCACUAGAGGACCAUCAUCAGAGUGAGGCAGAAGUAGGUGGUGAUGGUGAGGUGGAGCAAGAGGACAC